GACGAACGCUGGCGGCGUGCUUUAUACAUGCAAGUCGAACGAUGAAGUUCCUUCGGGAAUGGAUUAGUGGCGAACGGGUGAGGAACACGUGAGAAACCUGCCUUUCAUUCUGGGAUAACACCGGGAAACCGGUGCGAAUACCGGAUACUCCGUCUUGGCGGCAUCGCCGAGCCGGGAAAAAAUUUUGAGGAAAGAUGGUCUCGCGGCCUAUCAGCUAGUUGGUGAGGUAAUGGCUCACCAAGGCGACGACGGGUAGCCGGCCUGAGAGGGCGACCGGCCACACUGGGACUGAGACACGGCCCAGACUCCUACGGGAGGCAGCAGUAGGGAAUAUUGGGCAAUGGGCGCAAGCCUGACCCAGCGACGCCGCGUGAGGGAUGAAGGUCUUCGGAUUGUAAACCUCUUUCAGUAGGGAAGAAGCGAAAGUGACGGUACCUAAAGAAGAAGCACCGGCUAACUAUGUGCCAGCCGCCGCCGUAA
Molecule: ribosomal RNA, 480 nt
Filed under: uncultured bacterium
Lineage: Bacteria
Description: partial 16S ribosomal RNA
Rfam family: Bacterial small subunit ribosomal RNA
Source: RNAcentral